AGGUUUCCAGGUGUUUUCAAGAGCCUUCAGAGAAGUACAUGUAUUUGCAUUUGGCUCAUAUUUUCUGGUGGUUUAGAAGUGGCCUUCUUUUUGCUGAGAUAAAUUCCUAGCAGCUGGUACUAAGAUCUGCAUACAGGGACAUACUCUUCCCCAAAGCAUGUCACAGCAAGACUUUAGGAGUGCUCCAGUCCUUCAACACUUGGCUUGAUGGUCUGUUCAUCCAGAUGUUGUUGUCUUUAAUCUAGCUAGGAGCCUGACGUUAUUUAUCACUGAAUUUUAUAAGAGUGCCAAAAGCUUUGUCGCCUCAGAACAGAAGAGUAACCCACGCAGCGUCGUUGUGCAGCCUGGGAUCUGGACCCAGGCCAGUGGGAGCACCUGGUCCUCCUCUCUCCGCAGCCAAGGUCUCCAGUCUCAAAGCGGUUUAGCACAUGCCAGUACCAUCAACAGCCGAAAGAUGACACUGCAGCACAAGCUUCCCGAAAUUAGCCAUGCUGUUGCUUUUUAAAGGACAGGAAAUAAGGAAAUACAGCUUUUUGUAUAGGCUGUGCCUUCUCUCCACACUCCCCCCUCAAAUAGGUAGAUGAUAGGUAAUUACAUAGAUAGAUAGAUAAGAUAGAUAAAAUUGUUGCAAGGAUAAAGCUGUCCUUUAGCUCAAAUGUCAGUUUUAUGACAUUUUCAGACAAAACAACUUUGGUUCCUGUCUCGCAGUACAAGAUGUGCCCCCCCCCCCCCCCCCGUGCUGUCAGGCUAAUCCACUAGAGGGCACGACAGGGCACAACAACAGUCUGAGGCUGUCUUCUGAUGACAACCACACGUGUGAGCAGCAACCCCUUCCUGUCAGCUGCCCUCUCUGGUUGAUUCAAGUUUUUGUAGGUGUGCAGCAAAGCUUUUGAAGAUCCUUUUCAAAAGAGAUGAAAAUGUUUUCCUUUCUCUGUAUAAAGAUUUACAUUAUGAAGCAUGAGCUGCCUGCCCAGUUCCUCUUCAAAUUUGUUUUAUUCAUGGAUUCUCUUCAGACUGUAUUAUGUUUACCAGCCAUCCUCAAACAGACUUCAAAGACCAAUAAAGGAGUUCCUUGGAGGCCUGAACUGGAAGAGGGAGCCAGGGAGGUAGAAGGCUGUGGUGGAUCACUGCUGGGUUUUGAAGUUGACUGGACAGCAAGAACUUCUGUCAGCUUAUGA
Molecule: long non-coding RNA, 1178 nt
Filed under: Anas platyrhynchos platyrhynchos (common mallard)
Lineage: Eukaryota; Metazoa; Chordata; Aves; Anseriformes; Anatidae
Description: lncRNA (ENSAPLG00000016682.1)
Source: RNAcentral